CACAAGCGGUGGAUGAUGUGGUUAAUUCGAUGCAACGCGAAAACCUUACCACCUUGACAUGUACGGAAGCCUUAGAGAUAGAGGCGUGCUCGAAAGAGAGCCGUAACACAGGUGCUGCAUGGCUGUCGUCAGCUCGUGUCGUGAGAUGUUGGGUUAAGUCCCGCAACGAGCGCAACCCUUGUCAUUAGUUGCUACAUUCAGUUGGGCACUCUAAUGAGACUGCCGGUGACAAGCCGGAGGAAGGUGGGGAUGACGUCAAGUCCUCAUGGCCCUUAUAGGUGGGGCUACACACGUCAUACAAUGGCUGGUACAAAGGGUUGCCAACCCGCGAGGGGGAGCUAAUCCCAUAAAGCCAGUCGUAGUCCGGAUCGUAGUCUGCAACUCGACUACGUGAAGUCGGAAUCGCUAGUAAUCGUGGAUCAGAAUGUCACGGUGAAUACGUUCCCGGGUCUU
Molecule: ribosomal RNA, 453 nt
Filed under: uncultured Rhodoferax sp.
Lineage: Bacteria; Pseudomonadati; Pseudomonadota; Betaproteobacteria; Burkholderiales; Comamonadaceae
Description: bacterial SSU rRNA
Rfam family: Bacterial small subunit ribosomal RNA
Source: RNAcentral